CUCUAUAUAUAAAGUAUUUUACUUUUAUUAGAA
RNAcentral lists this transfer RNA (33 nucleotides) under Drosophila melanogaster (fruit fly). RNAcentral describes it as "partial transfer RNA-Leu". Lineage: Eukaryota; Metazoa; Arthropoda; Insecta; Diptera; Drosophilidae. The record is from RNAcentral.